UUUGAAAUUAGAACAUUAAUUACCUAUCAAACUCAAUAUUUUGAAAUAUAAAAAACGUGUGUUUUUAUUCAAAUUGAUGUCCAUUUUAAGGCCUAUUUCAGCGCUAGAAAACACUUGGUCAGUUACAUAAUCGUAAAUUGAACAUAAAUUAAAUAUCGAUAUCACAGAAAACAAAAACAAAAAUCAUUACAUCUUGAGCGAUGGUAGCUAGACCAAUUCAAAUAACUUGAUCAGCAAGAGGCAUAAAAACAAUAAAGUUUAGAGAUAAAUCAAACAUGUGAAGUUGUUAAAUCGAAAAAAUAAAAAAAAAAUACUACGUUGAAUUUUAUUACAUCACUAAGAUCCAUCAUCACAAUUUCAUCGUCGUGGUCUUUGGCAAAAUUUCGCGAUUCGCGAGGAUCCCCGUCUUAUAGGUAGGACUCUAUGAUUGAAGAAAAAAAAAAAUAGUACACUUAUACUGAAUAUUAGAAGAUGAUCUCUCUUCCGGAUCGUUUUCUUUGAUAAACAGAGAUACAAUUGGGAUUCAUAUGCUGCGUCGUUGUCGGCAGUUGGAAUAAGAUGAGUUCGAUAGUGUUUUUUCUUUUUGAUGGAAUCCGAAAUGAAGAAGAUUCAAGAUGGGUUUCUGUGCCAUUUUUGGGCAAACGAGUUUGGCUGGCUCUUUGGAAGUUGAUUUAUUGUCACACUUUUGCCAUAAACGUAAUUUGUCAAAAUAGUUAAAGAAGUAAAAACUAUACAAAAUUUAAAAAUGGAAGACCGACACAAUCCCGAAAUUUUGAAUCCAGAAAACCCAGAAUCUUGAAAAUCCAAAAUCCAGAAAGUCCGGAAAACCCAAAAUCCAGAAAACCCUAAAUCCCGAAAACCCAAAAUCCCGAAAACCCAGAAUCCCGAAAAUCUAAAAUCCAGAGAACCCAAAAUCCCGAAAACCCAAAAUCCAGAAAGGCCAAAAUCCCAAAAAUAAAACAGAAAAAGUAAAAAACUCUUCAAAAUUGUAUUUCACUGAUAUUUUAAUUGAAGUAUAAAAUAAAACACCAAUU
Long non-coding RNA from Episyrphus balteatus (marmalade hoverfly), 1034 nucleotides. RefSeq lists it as uncharacterized. Lineage: Eukaryota; Metazoa; Arthropoda; Insecta; Diptera; Syrphidae. The transcript has 5 exons. The record is from RefSeq and is a predicted model, not a curated record.